UAGUGGCGAACGGGUGAGUAACACGUGGGCAAUCUGCCCUUCACUCUGGGACAAGCCCUGGAAACGGGGUCUAAUACCGGAUAACACNUUCNNCCGCAUGGUGGGGGGUUAAAAGCUCCGGCGGUGAAGGAUGAGCCCGCGGCCUAUCAGCUUGUUGGUGGGGUGAUGGCCUACCAAGGCGACGACGGGUAGCCGGCCUGAGAGGGCGACCGGCCACACUGGGACUGAGACACGGCCCAGACUCCUACGGGAGGCAGCAGUGGGGAAUAUUGCACAAUGGGCGAAAGCCUGAUGCAGCGACGCCGCGUGAGGGAUGACGGCCUUCGGGUUGUAAACCUCUUUCAGCAGGGAAGAAGCGAAAGUGACGGUACCUGCAGAAGAAGCGCCGGCUAACUACGUGCCAGCAGCCGCGGUAAUACGUAGGGCGCAAGCGUUGUCCGGAAUUAUUGGGCGUAAAGAGCUCGUAGGCGGCUUGUCACGUCGGAUGUGAAAGCCCGGGGCUUAACCCCGGGUCUGCAUUCGAUACGGGCUAGCUAGAGUGUGGUAGGGGAGAUCGGAAUUCCU
Molecule: ribosomal RNA, 564 nt
Filed under: Streptomyces sp. 340F03
Lineage: Bacteria; Bacillati; Actinomycetota; Actinomycetes; Kitasatosporales; Streptomycetaceae
Description: bacterial SSU rRNA
Rfam family: Bacterial small subunit ribosomal RNA
Source: RNAcentral